UGGGGAAUAUUGGACAAUGGGCGAAAGCCUGAUCCAGCCAUGCCGCGUGUGUGAAGAAGGUCUUCGGAUUGUAAAGCACUUUAAGUUGGGAGGAAGGGCAUUAACCUAAUACGUUAGUGUUUUGACGUUACCGACAGAAUAAGCACCGGCUAACUAUGUGCCAGCAGCCGCGGUAAUACAGAGGGUGCAAGCGUUAAUCGGAAUUACUGGGCGUAAAGCGCGCGUAGGGGGUUUGUUAAGUUGGAUGUGAAGUCCCCGGGCUCAACCUGGGAACUGCAUUCAAAACUGACUGACUAGAGUAUGGUAGAGGGUGGUGGAAUUUCCUGUGUAGCGGUUAAAUGCGUAGAUAUAGGAAGGAACACCAGUGGCGAAGGCGACCACCUGGACUAAUACUGACACUGAGGUGCGAAAGCGUGGGGAGCAAACA
RNAcentral lists this ribosomal RNA (427 nucleotides) under uncultured bacterium. Its description in RNAcentral is "partial 16S ribosomal RNA". It matches the Rfam family "Bacterial small subunit ribosomal RNA", at positions 355 to 774 of the family's 1533-position model. The record is from RNAcentral.